AUUCAACAUACGUCUGUCUUCACAGCCAAAUAACGUUCUUGUUUCGUAUUAUCAUCUCUUUUUUUUUAUUAACCCCCUCUGCCUCUACGCAUAGAAAAGCUCACUAUGAAAAGGAAGCUUCCAAGUUUGACAUAUUUGAGAAUAUUAUACAUCUAUUUUGCAUGAUCACUUAUCAAUUUUCUUUUUAUAUUUUUAACACUAGACUUAGCGAUAAUCUUAAACGUUGGACUCCGAUUAGAUCUGAAUAACUAAAAGAUUGGACAACUGAAAUAUAAAGUAACAUUAUCAAGUUUAUAUGAGAAGCAAUUUAACCAUUUAUAAUAUUUCUGUCUUUUGAUGAAAAGUCUAUUUGAUUAGAAAAAAUAUUCACCUCUAAUCAAGGCUUAACACAUGGUGUCCAAGUCCAAAAAAAAAAGUCAUUAUGUCAAUUGAAUUGAAACUCAAAAAGAAAAUAUUCUUCGAAUUUUUUUUGUGUGUGGUUAAUAAAGUUUGACCCUUCUCUUCCUCUAUUACUUAGUUUACUUUAAAAGUUUAACUUAAACGUCAAAGAGAUCAUAUCGGGAAUCACGCUCGACAUUGAUUUUAUUACAAGAUCAAAGGCUUCUAGCGUAAGAUGGAUAUGAUGCAAAUCACUCGAGUUCACCAACUUCUUCCCCUAACACUAUCAAAUAUAUAUUUAUUUGAUUUUUUAUUAAAAAUUAUUAAUGAUUAGGUGUCACGAAUAUAAGACUCGCCCAUAUUAUAGAGCGAAGAACCGAAAACAAAUUAGAGGAUCAGUUUCUUCGCUAAAAAUAAAUAGAUUUAGAAAUUCGAGCCUGCGUGGGAAGCUAAUUGAUGUUUCAUUUUCCUGGCAAUUAAUAUAUUUGAACUUACCAUAUAAGUAACCACAAGACACUUUAUUUCCUUCGGUCCAUGGCAGCAUAUGACAUGUCAUGAGCACAUGACAUGGCAUGAAUUAAGCAGCAGUAGUGACAGCAGCCUAUCAGAGUGUUGUUGAGUUCUUCAAGCAAUCAAUAAGAGUGAGUCAAGUUUCCUUUCAUUGAAAAGGACUUGUAAGACAGCUUUCAGACUCGCACACAAAUCUAAUUUACAAUUUGAGGCAUUAGGGUGGUGAAGUCGUUCCCUAUCAAUUUCCAGUGACAGAGUUAGCUAAAGUCCAUCAGUGUCCUUCCAUUUGUACACGUAAGUUAGAAUCCAGCUUACGGGACUACUUUUCUAUAACAUCAUACUUCAGGCAAACAAGCAACUGUUAGCAUGCCCACUCAAAUGGCCCACACUUUUCAAGAAGUUGUUUUUGCAGGAUGAUGGUGUAUGUAGCUUAAACUUUUUUCUACACAAUCUUUUUUUUAUAUUUUAAGAUAAUUAUAUUGGCUUUUGUGCAUAAAAUCCAUGUUUUAUUUUGUUUACUGUUCUUCUCAAAAUUCUUAUUUGCUUAUAGUUUAAAUAAAAAAUAAAACUAAUGUAGGGGUAGAUAUGGGACCGACACCUCGUCAUCUUGUAACCAAAAUCUCAAUAGAAUAUUAGGUGGACCGGAUGUUAUCAUGGAUUCAACAUAUCAUGAUCAUAAUUAAGUCCAAAAGAGAUGCACCUCGUCAUCUCUAAGGCCCGAGCAUUCCUGGCCUAACAUGACAAAUCGUACCCUCAACAAGUAACAUACUAUCACUUGCAUAACAACUAGUACCCAUCAUAAUUAUCCUUGUCAAAAUAGAUGCAACAUACAUUAUAUUUUAUCAAGGAUAAUUCAAACUAUGAUCUCUUUCCUCUCCCAACAGGGACCACAUCCUUCGUUUACUCCAUCAUUCCCGGCUCCUAUCCCUCCACCUACUCUAGUACUAACACUUGUGGUAGAGUCUUGACCUCCCUCAAUUGACAUACCACAAGAGACACAUUCUCCCUUGUAUCCCUCUCACAAAUUAUAUCUAAACCCACCACAAGAGCUCGAGGCCUAGCUCCUCAAUAGCCAAUAUCCCCUCCAAUGCUUGACGAGAUGCCUCAGCUAGCCAUGACCCUUGUCGUCCUAGGACAUCCCUAGCUAACCGAUCACCCAAUGAAUAUUGCGAUCUCGUAUUCCCAAGGUUAAUGGAUCUCAUCAUCCCCACUCAGGGUUUACCGAUUCCACGAACUACACUCUCCAAACACAGAUCCAACAAAUGGAUCGGCUCUUGAAAGACAUGCAUCGAUAAUUCCACUUAACAAAGGAGAGAGAUUCAACUGACUUCUCCUGACUAAGUCUCCUUUGUCUAGAAGAUCUAAGAGGAGUCGAUACUGAUGAGUUUUUGACUAUCGACCUUCGAGGCAUUUGAUGGAAGCAUAAAACAUCUUGAUAUGAUACACCUUCCCUACAAUAUUAUGUGGCAUGACACGAGAGUAGUAUUCCCAUCUUAAACCAUUCUUAAUGAGCUCCUUUGCUAGCUGAUUAAGGAGUUCAGGCAACACUUUGUUGGGAACAUACACCCCAAACAUUCAGCCACUACCCUUUUGAUGAUCCAAUAGGCUGAGGAGAUGUUUGCUGAUUUUAUCACUAUAUUUACAAAUGAUGCCUGAGGGACCACUGAAACACCCCCCUCAGUCCCAUGUAAGCAUUUAUAUUCAGGCUAAGACCUUCUUAGCUCUUUUGGUCUCUAAUAGAGAGGCACAUGAAAACCAUAUCCCAAUAUACUUUAAUGCUCUAACUAGUACAUUAUGACUAAGGCAAUGGUCUUAGGAAAGCAUGAGGAAUCACACAAGUGUUUAAAAUUUGGAGCGACCGAUCCCGUCCCCAACCCUAAGGUCACCUUGGUAAAGAAGACCCAAUCGAGUAGGCCAUCUCGAUUGUGCCCAGACUUAAUCCCUCCCUUGCUCCUCCCUCCUUGAUACGAGUUGGAUUAAGGUCUUCCUCUAGAUCAAGAAAUGGUUACUACGGGACAUCAAGUGUCCCUAUUUAGUAGUUGUGACAAGUCUAAAUACUAUAAGUUCCACUAGGACCAUGACUAUGAUCCUGAGGAUCGUCUUGAUGUGAAAGAAUAAAUUAAAGAACUCAUCCGUUGAGGGCACCUUAGGCGCUUUGUACGUAGAUGCAUGCUAGUCAUAGGUGCUAUAUAAGCCAAUCACGUGAGUGAUGACAUGUGUGAGAUGAUACGCGUUCUGUUUGCUCAUUAUAUUAUUUGAUAUUUUAUCACUUUAUAUUGCUUGCUGCAUAUAUAUAUAUAUAUAUAUAUAUAUAUAUAUAUAUAUAUAUAUAUAUAUAGUGAUAUCAUUAGAUUUGUGCAAUGAGAAUUAGAUCAUGUUGAGAUCACAAUACUGAGACCAAUUCACCUUUAAACACAGACCCUAAAUAAUCAUGGUCAUAGGUUACUCGAGAGGGACAUCGAGAUAACCGGACAGAUUGGUGUGCUGUAUAGCUGUCCAUAUGAUGGAGGCAGCUAGUCUUAUAGUUG
Molecule: long non-coding RNA, 3416 nt
Filed under: Musa acuminata (dwarf banana)
Lineage: Eukaryota; Viridiplantae; Streptophyta; Magnoliopsida; Zingiberales; Musaceae
Description: long non-coding RNA (MACU_LNC008334)
Source: RNAcentral